RNAcentral lists this ribosomal RNA (254 nucleotides) under uncultured bacterium. RNAcentral describes it as "partial 16S ribosomal RNA". It matches the Rfam family "Bacterial small subunit ribosomal RNA", at positions 524 to 776 of the family's 1533-position model. The record is from RNAcentral.
GACAGAGGGCGCGAGCGUUGUUCGGAAUCACUGGGCGUAAAGCGCGCGCAGGCGGACCAGGCAAGUCUGGAGUGAAAUCUCGCCGCUCAACGGCGAGGCUGCUCUGGAAACUGCGGGUCUGGAGACCGGUAGAGGCUGGUAGAAUUGCAGGUGUAGCGGUGGAAUGCGUAGAGAUCUGCAAGAAUACCCGUGGCGAAGGCGGCCAGCUGGGCCGGUUCUGACGCUGAGGCGCGAAAGCGUGGGGAGCAAACAGG